RNAcentral lists this small nuclear RNA (107 nucleotides) under Stegodyphus mimosarum. Lineage: Eukaryota; Metazoa; Arthropoda; Arachnida; Araneae; Eresidae. The record is from RNAcentral.
UGCCUCUCCUAGGCAGUACAUUUACUAAAAAUGAAACGAUACAGAGAAGAUUAGCAUGGCCUCUACGCAAGAAUGAGAAGCAAAAUCGUGAGACGUUCCACAGUUUU